CCCUUUUCAAGCCAUUGAGCUAAGUUUUCAAACCGGGGCAUUAACUCAGCAUGAUAUCUUCAGUAGAAAAUAUUAAAUUCACAAUUACGAAAAAUAUAUCAUAAGCGAUGGCAAAAAUCAUCAGCCAAGACAAAAAUAUGCUCUGUUAACUGAAGAGCAGGCAAGAAGAAUUGAUCAAUGCACUCACAGAACCUACAAAACUUUUCAAAAGAUGAUGAUUAUUAGAUGUGUGACAAGAUUUCUGUGAAAAUCAGAUCAUUUUACAUUUCCCCUCAUUUCUGUUAGCAUAAUCAUCUCAUUGCUUUUUCUUUUAAAGUUUCCGUGUUAUCUAAGACCACUUGAUUGACAACUGUGAACCACCAGCUGCCUGGAAACCUCACUUCAGGAAACCUGCUCCCGAAUUUGAGGAAAGAAAGUUGAGACAACAUCUGAAUUGAAAUCAUAUAGACGAAAUGGCUGAGAAAAUGGCUUACCUCCACCCCGUUUUUAUUGGAGCAAUGGCACUCCACUCCAGUACAGAGUCGGACAUGACUGAAGCGACUUAGCAAUAGCAGCAGCAGCAUGCAAUCAUCUGAACUUCUGACUCAUUUCAAUAGACUUGGAGAAGAAUUAAGGAGCAGCCUUCUUAGUUCCGUGGUGUUGGGAGAGCUUAGGGGAGACAAGACUCGGUUGAAAUGAAAAAUGAUAUAAAAGACUCUAUGAAGACCACUAAUGUGAGUCCCAAAUAGUUGAGUUGCAACCUAAGUUGAAUGUUUGAGGGUGUCCAACUCUUGCUUUUAACAUUUCUAUUUAUAGAAGG
RNAcentral lists this long non-coding RNA (799 nucleotides) under Bos indicus x Bos taurus (hybrid cattle). RNAcentral's name for it is "lncRNA (ENSBIXG00005007918.1)". Lineage: Eukaryota; Metazoa; Chordata; Mammalia; Artiodactyla; Bovidae. The record is from RNAcentral.